CCUAUCAAUGACAAAGAGGAAGAAAGACAAAUGUUAUCCAGUGGACCUGAAUAAGGUAGGAAACAUGAACAAUGGCUUUUCCACCCACCUUUGGAGGGGAUUUGGAUCAGCCAUGAUCUGGCAAAGUCGGCCGUAGUUAAAGAUCCUGCCAGAUACCAGGAGUUCGUGGGCCUCUUUCUUGGCCUUCUCCAUCACUGCAUUAAUGGCUUCCGGUGUACCAUUCUUCAUGCAGAUUUCUGUGGGAUGUGAAAUGUGGAGUGGCUGUACUGAUGUUAUUUUGUUUCACACAGUAAAUCACCUUCCGGAAUGGCAAACCCCUGUGUGUGGCUCAGCUCAUUAAUUCAUUCAACACAACGCAGAAGGAUUCUAGUCGACUAGUGCAGACAUGCCGGCUACAGUGGUGCCGUGACCCGGAUUCACAUCGCUCAGCCCUUUAUCGUGGUUCUUGGAGCAGUGGAUCAACGCCAGCUCGGUCACCGGAGGUUGCUGUCAUCACGUCGAGAGUCCGGGGGUUUGGUUUUUUUUAGAAAAAAAAAAAAGACAUUCAUACACACAGCUGAAAUAUCAUCAGAUCGGUUUUGCUUAAAGGUUCAACCUUCCCUUUUGUGAACU
Molecule: long non-coding RNA, 612 nt
Filed under: Gouania willdenowi (blunt-snouted clingfish)
Lineage: Eukaryota; Metazoa; Chordata; Actinopteri; Blenniiformes; Gobiesocidae
Description: lncRNA (ENSGWIG00000003546.1)
Source: RNAcentral